RNAcentral lists this ribosomal RNA (253 nucleotides) under uncultured bacterium. RNAcentral's name for it is "partial 16S ribosomal RNA". It matches the Rfam family "Bacterial small subunit ribosomal RNA", at positions 524 to 776 of the family's 1533-position model. The record is from RNAcentral.
UACGUAGGGACCAAGCGUUGUUCGGAUUUACUGGGCGUAAAGGGCGCGUAGGCGGCGCGGUAAGUCACUUGUGAAAUCUCUGAGCUUAACUCAGAACGGCCAAGUGAUACUGCAGUGCUAGAGUGUGGAAGGGGCAAUCGGAAUUCUUGGUGUAGCGGUGAAAUGCGCAGAUAUCAGGAGGAACACCAAUGGCGAGGGCAGCACUCUGGGACGUGACUGACGCUGAGACGCGAAAGCGUGGGGAGCAAACAGG